RNAcentral lists this ribosomal RNA (1100 nucleotides) under Pseudoglutamicibacter cumminsii. RNAcentral's name for it is "partial 16S ribosomal RNA". The record is from RNAcentral. Lineage: Bacteria; Bacillati; Actinomycetota; Actinomycetes; Micrococcales; Micrococcaceae.
USGGGGSUKCUUUWMCYWUGCCAGUUCKAACGCUGAAGCCUGGUGCUUGCACUGGGUGGAUGAGUGGCGAACGGGUGAGUAACACGUGAGUAACCUGCCCUUGACUUCGGGAUAAGCCCGGGAAACUGGGUCUAAUACUGGAUAUGACCUCCUGCCGCAUGGUGGGGGGUGGAAAGAUUUAUCGGUUGGGGAUGGACUCGCGGCCUAUCAGUUUGUUGGUGGGGUAAUGGCCUACCAAGACGACGACGGGUAGCCGGCCUGAGAGGGUGACCGGCCACACUGGGACUGAGACACGGCCCAGACUCCUACGGGAGGCAGCAGUGGGGAAUAUUGCACAAUGGGCGCAAGCCUGAUGCAGCGACGCCGCGUGAGGGAUGACGGCCUUCGGGUUGUAAACCUCUUUCAGUAKGGAAGCAGCCCUUUUAGGGUGACGGUACCUGCAGAAGAAGCGCCGGCUAACUACGUGCCAGCAGCCGCGGUAAUACGUAGGGCGCAAGCGUUAUCCGGAAUUAUUGGGCGUAAAGAGCUCGUAGGCGGUUUGUCGCGUCUGCUGUGAAAGCCCGGGGCUUAACUCCGGGUGUGCAGUGGGUACGGGCAGGCUAGAGUGCAGUAKGGGAGACUGGAAUUCCUGGUGUAKCGGUGGAAUGCGCAGAUAUCAGGAGGAACACCGAUGGCGAAGGCAGGUCUCUGGGCUGUUACUGACKCUGAGGAGCGAAAGCAUGKGGAGCAAACAGGAUUAGAUACCCUGGUAGUCCAUGCCGUAAACGUUGGGCACUAUGUGUGGGGGACAUUCCACGUUUUCCGCKCCGUAKCUAAYGCAUUAAGUGCCCCGCCUGGGGAGUACGGYCGCAAGGCUAAAACUCAWAGGAAUUGACGGGGGCCCGCACAAGCSKCKKAKCAUUGCGKAUUUAUUUCGAUGCWACKCGAAGAACCUUACCAWGGCUUGACAUGGACGGAUCGGCGCAUAGAUGUGUUUUYCUUUCGGGGYUGGUUYACAGKCGUGCWUGUUUGUCKUCRYCUCGSKCCUGAAAUKUUGKGUUAKUCCCGCAWCUASYGCACCCUCGUUCUAUGUUGCCWGCWYGUUAYGGUGGGGAYYCUKG